This 62-nucleotide microRNA precursor is filed under the name Branchiostoma lanceolatum (amphioxus). Its description in RNAcentral is "Bla-Mir-92-o4_pre stem-loop". The record is from RNAcentral. Lineage: Eukaryota; Metazoa; Chordata; Leptocardii; Amphioxiformes; Branchiostomatidae.
AGGUCUGGACAGUUGCAAUCUUCGUUCUGUCUCAGCCGAACAUUGCACUCGUCCCGGCCUGA